This 253-nucleotide ribosomal RNA is filed under the name uncultured bacterium. Its description in RNAcentral is "partial 16S ribosomal RNA". It matches the Rfam family "Bacterial small subunit ribosomal RNA", at positions 524 to 776 of the family's 1533-position model. The record is from RNAcentral.
UACGUAGGGUGCGAGCGUUAAUCGGAAUUACUGGGCGUAAAGCGUGCGCAGGCGGUUUUGUAAGCCAGAUGUGAAAUCCCCGGGCUCAACCUGGGAAUGGCAUUUGGGACUGCAAGGCUGGAGUACGGCAGAGGAGACUGGAAUUCCUGGUGUAGCAGUGAAAUGCGUAGAUAUCAGGAGGAAUACCGAUGGCGAAGGCAGGUCUCUGGGCUGAUACUGACGCUGAGGUGCGAAAGCGUGGGGAGCAAACAGG